UAUUGACUUAGUCAGCAAUGUGUGAACAUAUUUGACAGUAAUAGUAUGACAGUAAUGACAGUAUGAAAGACUUUAAUUUGUGUGUAAAGGUUACAUACCCGCAGCAGACAGUGAGCGACAGCAUGUAACAGAAAGUUAAGAAGAAUGAAAGCUUUAAAGGUCCCACAUUAUUCUGUUUUUCAUCAAUUUCAAACAGCUGUCAAAGGUCCAACAACACUGUAUUCAAAAUUUAUUGACCCAAACUCAUCUGUGGUCCGGAAUUUCAGCCAUCUAAAAGUCGCAUUGAGAGCAAGCUGUUUGUGUGACUGCACCUUUAAAUGCUAAUGAGCUCCAUCUGCCAAUGCCUGCCUUGCUACACCCCCUGCUACACACCCCUCUCAGGGAAAGGAUGCUGCUUACGCUAAUGCUAGCUCCUGCUAAUGGUAAAGGGUCUGCAAAGAUUCGGCCCUUCAUACACAUUAAUAUGAUCAGGAAGAAGGAAGUGAGGCUGGGCGUCAACAACUUGAUGUCUGUUAAACACAAACAAAACCACAUAAGACAAACACUUACACCAACCCUGUCUUCAAAGGACCACGUACAUUUCUCAUGCAUGUGAUCGUAAGGAGAAGCGAUGAGUUUAACAGCAGCAGCAAGUGGAUUCGUUGUCUUCCUUCUCUUUGUACAAGGAUGACCAGCAGAGAGCUGUGUCUGUUUUGUACACCAGCAGCAUCUCUGUACACUUUUGCCAAAAAAGAAAAAAGAAUACUGCUUUACACUUGUCGACUGUAGCUUUGACAAAUGUGUGGGGUGAGUACAAGGCCGCAAGGAAACAACCAG
Acanthopagrus latus (yellowfin seabream) is the source of this 816-nucleotide long non-coding RNA. RefSeq lists it as uncharacterized. The transcript has 3 exons. Lineage: Eukaryota; Metazoa; Chordata; Actinopteri; Spariformes; Sparidae. The record is from RefSeq and is a predicted model, not a curated record.